GCAUAUCAAUAAGCGGAGGAAAAGAAACCAACAGGGAUUGCCUUAGUAACGGCGAGUGAAGCGGCAAAAGCUCAAAUUUGAAAUCUGGCACUUUCAGUGUCCGAGUUGUAAUUUGAAGAAGGUAACUUUGGAGUUGGCCCUUGUCUAUGUUCCUUGGAACAGGACGUCACAGAGGGUGAGAAUCCCGUGCGAUGAGGUGUCCAAUUCUAUGUAAAGUGCUUUCGAAGAGUCGAGUUGUUUGGGAAUGCAGCUCUAAGUGGGUGGUAAAUUCCAUCUAAAGCUAAAUAUUGGCGAGAGACCGAUAGCGAACAAGUACAGUGAUGGAAAGAUGAAAAGAACUUUGAAAAGAGAGUGAAAAAGUACGUGAAAUUGUUGAAAGGGAAGGGCUUGAGAUCAGACUCGGUAUUUUGCAAGCCUAUCCUUCGUGGAGAGGUUUAUUAGCAGCUUACCGGGCCAGCAUCGGUUUGGAUGGUAGGAUAAUGGCAUUGGAAUGUGGCUCCUCGGACAAUUAUAGCCUUUGUUGAUAC
This is a ribosomal RNA of 527 nucleotides. It matches the Rfam family "Eukaryotic large subunit ribosomal RNA", at positions 38 to 569 of the family's 3401-position model.